AGUGGAUGGGGAGCAACCUAGUUGUGCGUGUGUAAAGGUAGUGCCAAGAAAAGCGGUGAUCAUGAUGAAAAUCAAUUCCCGGUACCCGAAACCGACACAGGUGGGCGAGUAGAGAAUACUAAGGGGCGCGAGGUAACUCUCUCCAAGGAACUCGGCAAAAUGACCCCGUAACUUAGGGAGAAGGGGUGCCACCGAGAGGUGGUCGCAGUGAAGAGGCCCAGGCGACUGUUUAGCAAAAACAUAGGUCUCUGCAAACUCGAAAGAGGAGGUAUAGGGGCUGACGCCUGCCCAGUGCCGGAAGGUUAAAGAAGUUGGUCAGUCUUAGGAUAAAGCUAGCGACUGAAGCCCCGGUGAACGGCGGCCGUAACUAUAACGGUCCUAAGGUAGCGAAAUUCCUUGUCGGGUAAGUUCCGACCCGCACGAAAGGCGUAACGAUCUGGGCGCUGUCUCGGAGAGAGAGAGGCUCGGCGAAAUAGGAUUGUCUGUGAAGAUACGGACUACCUGCAUUUGGACAGAAAGACCCUAUGAAGCUUUACUAUAGCUUGGAAUUGUGUUCGGGCUUCCUGUGCGCAGGAUAGGUGGGAGGCGAAGAAGGUAUUCUUGUGGGGAUACUGGAGCCAACGGUGAGAUACCACUCUCAGGAGGCUAGAAUUCUAACUUAAUUAAGGACAGUUUCAGGUGGGUAGUUUGACUGGGGCGGUCGCCUCCAAAAAGGUAACGGAGGCGUACAAAGGUUCCCUCAGACUGGUUGGAAAUCAGUCGCAGAGUGCAAAGGCAGAAGGGAGCUUGACUGCGAGAAGUACAGUUCGAGCAGGGUGGAAACACGGUCUUAGUGAUCCGACGGUGCUGUGUGGAAGGGCCGUCGCUCAACGGAUAAAAGUUACUCUAGGAUAACAGGCUGAUCUCCCCCAAGAGUUCACAUCGACGGGGAGGUUUGGCACCUCGAUGUCGGCUCAUCGCAACCUGGGGCGGAAGUACGUCCCAAGGGUUGGGCUGUUCGCCCAUUAAAGCGGUACGUGAGCUGGGUUCAGAACGUCGUGAGACAGUUCGGUCCAUAUCCGAUGUAGGCGUGAGAAUAUUGAGAGGAGCCUUCCUUAGUACGAGAGGACCGGGAAGGACGCACCGCUGGUGUACCUGUUAUGAUGCCAAUUGUAAACGCAGGGUAGCCAAGUGCGGAGAGGAUAACCGCUGAAAGCAUCUAAGUGGGAAGCCCACCUCAAGAUGAGUAUUCUGGUGUAAGGUCACGGGAAGACGACCCGUAAAUAGGCACGAGGUGGAAGUGCAGAGAUGUAUGAAGCCGAAGUGUACUAAUAGACCGUCGGCUUGAC
This 1328-nucleotide ribosomal RNA is filed under the name metagenome. RNAcentral describes it as "bacterial LSU rRNA". It matches the Rfam family "Bacterial large subunit ribosomal RNA", at positions 1561 to 2925 of the family's 2925-position model. The record is from RNAcentral.